This 1244-nucleotide long non-coding RNA is filed under the name Salvia miltiorrhiza (redroot sage). RNAcentral's name for it is "long non-coding RNA (SMIL_LNC012758)". Lineage: Eukaryota; Viridiplantae; Streptophyta; Magnoliopsida; Lamiales; Lamiaceae. The record is from RNAcentral.
UUAAGGGUUAAGUAUCAAUUUGGCCCCUAACGUAGAGGCCCCUGUAGCUAUUAACACCCUAUGGACAGGGGUGUGUCAACUAAGCCCCUGAAGUACCUAAUUUCCGCCAAUUAACCCCUCCGACUUAACGGACGGUUAACACCGUUAACUAUUUUAAUUUUUUAAUUUUUUUAUUUAUUGGUGGUGGGACCCACACCAUCUUCUUCACCAAGCUCGCCGGAAACACACCGGAAACCUAAUCCACCCCUUCCCCGAAACUCCGGCGUGGGGACGACAACGGUGGCCGACGGAGCUCUGGUGGCGAGCUCGGCAAGGCGGCGCGUUGAGGAGGCUCAACCGCUUUGUUGCUGCUCCUUGCGCUGCUAUGGAAGACCGAAGGUGGCGCUCAGGGCUGGAAAAGGAGGGAGAGUGGUGGCUUCGCGGUGGUGGUGCAGCAGAGCGCGACGGCGGCGCGGCCAAAUUUUAAGGGGAGGCUCCUUAGAUUGGUCCUGAAAUAAGAACGAUGCAAACUCCGGGCAAAAACCGGUGAGAGAACCACGACCAGCGGCCAGGGACACACUGAUAGCCGAAGUAAGAAUCGAAAAACCCAGGGAACCAAAACAAGGGCAAGAGCAAAAGAACAGCAAACACACAGAAAAAAAAACCAAGAACCCAAAUUUGAAAAUUCACUUCCCAGUAAAGAUAAGAACAGAAAAGGGGUUUCACGCAAGAUGAAGGUAAGAGAAGCACAAUAUAGCUAAGAAACCCCAAAAGCAUAUUCAAACCCAAAUUCACAAACAGACAAUCUCAAAAUCAAUCAAAAACGCAGCCCCCGCUCUGAAUCGUAACAGAAGAAUGCGAAGAAAGAUUGAAAGGGAGAAAACUUACUUGCGAUUUGCCCUUACUCAGACUUCAGGCGGCUGGGCGCAGCUGUGGUGAGGAGAAAACAGAGGGAGAACGAGAGAGAGGGAGAGAGGUCGAAGGGGGCGAGAGAUGAGGGAAGAAGGGAGAUAGGAAGAAGGGGGAAGGGAGAGGAGGCAGGGCCGCCGGCUCCGGUGGCGGCGCUGCCGUCUGGAGGCUGCAGCAGGAGGGAGAACAUGUUUUGCCCUUAAUGGUGGGCCCCACAAAAUAAAAAAAUAAAAAAAAUUAAAAAUUCGGACGGAGUUAACUCUCCGUUAGACGGAGGGGUUUACUUGACGCAAAACAUGGACCUUAGGGGUUUAGUUGAGACACCCCUGCGCAUAGGGUUGUAUUGGCUACAGGGG